RNAcentral lists this ribosomal RNA (434 nucleotides) under uncultured Lachnospiraceae bacterium. RNAcentral's name for it is "bacterial SSU rRNA". It matches the Rfam family "Bacterial small subunit ribosomal RNA", at positions 341 to 792 of the family's 1533-position model. The record is from RNAcentral. Lineage: Bacteria; Bacillati; Bacillota; Clostridia; Lachnospirales; Lachnospiraceae.
ACGGAAGGCAGCAGUGGGGAAUAUUGGUCAAUGGGGGCAACCCUGAACCAGCGACGCCGCGUGAGUGAAGAAGUAUUUCGGUAUGUAAAGCUCUAUCAGCAGGGAAGAUAAUGGCAGUACCUGACUAAGAAGCACCGGCUAAAUACGUGCCAGCAGCCGCGGUAAUACGUAUGGUGCAAGCGUUAUCCGGAUUUACUGGGUGUAAAGGGAGCGUAGGCGGUCUGGCAAGUCUGAUGUGAAAACCCGGGGCUUAACCUCGGGAUUGCAUUGGAAACUGUCGGACUUGAGUGUCGGAGAGGAAAGCGGAAUUCCUAGUGUAGCGGUGAAAUGCGUAGAUAUUAGGAGGAACACCAGUGGCGAAGGCGACUAACUGGACUGUAACUGACGCUGAGGCGCGAAAGUGUGGGGAGCAAACAGGAUUAGAUACCCUGGUA